This 373-nucleotide ribosomal RNA is filed under the name uncultured Planctomycetota bacterium. RNAcentral describes it as "bacterial SSU rRNA". It matches the Rfam family "Bacterial small subunit ribosomal RNA", at positions 525 to 896 of the family's 1533-position model. The record is from RNAcentral. Lineage: Bacteria; Pseudomonadati; Planctomycetota.
ACGAACCGUGCGAACGUUAUUCGGAAUCACUGGGCUUAAAGGGUACGUAGGCGGUCUUGCAAGUGGGGUGUGAAAUCCCUCGGCUCAACCGGGGAACUGCGCUCCAAACUGCAAGACUUGAGGGAGAUAGAGGUGAGCGGAACUGAUGGUGGAGCGGUGAAAUGCGUUGAGAUCAUCAGGAACACCAGAGGCGAAGGCGGCUCACUGGGUCUCUUCUGACGCUGAGGUACGAAAGCUAGGGUAGCGAACGGGAUUAGAUACCCCGGUAGUCCUAGCUGUAAACGAUGAGCACUGGGUCGGAGGCCCUUCCACAGGCUUCCGGUCGUAGCGAAAGUGUUAAGUGCUCCGCCUGGGGAGUAUGGUCGCAAGGCUG